GACGAACGCUGGCGGCGUGCUUAACACAUGCAAGUCGAACGGAAAGGCCCAGCUUGCUGGGUGCUCGAGUGGCGAACGGGUGAGUAACACGUGGGUGAUCUGCCUCUAACUUCGGGAUAAGCUUGGGAAACUGGGUCUAAUACCGGAUAGGACAAUCGUUUAGUGUCGGUUGUGGAAAGUUUUUUCGGUUAGGGAUGAGCCCGCGGCCUAUCAGCUUGUUGGUGGGGUAAUGGCCUACCAAGGCGUCGACGGGUAGCCGGCCUGAGAGGGUGGACGGCCACAUUGGGACUGAGAUACGGCCCAGACUCCUACGGGAGGCAGCAGUGGGGAAUACUGCACAAUGGGCGCAAGCCUGAUGCAGCGACGCCGCGUGGGGGAUGACGGCCUUCGGGUUGUAAACCUCUUUCGACAGGGACGAAGCUUUGGUGACGGUACCUGUAUAAGAAGCACCGGCUAACUACGUG
RNAcentral lists this ribosomal RNA (464 nucleotides) under uncultured bacterium. Its description in RNAcentral is "partial 16S ribosomal RNA". It matches the Rfam family "Bacterial small subunit ribosomal RNA", at positions 28 to 507 of the family's 1533-position model. The record is from RNAcentral.